RNAcentral lists this ribosomal RNA (305 nucleotides) under uncultured bacterium. RNAcentral's name for it is "partial 16S ribosomal RNA". It matches the Rfam family "Bacterial small subunit ribosomal RNA", at positions 508 to 807 of the family's 1533-position model. The record is from RNAcentral.
ACAGCAGUCGCCGCGGGAAUACGGAGGGUGCAAGCGUUAAUCGGAAUUACUGGGCGUAAAGCGCACGCAGGCGGUCUGUCAAGUCAGAUGUGAAAUCCCCGGGCUUAACCUGGGAACUGCAUUUGAAACUGGCAGGCUAGAGUCUUGUAGAGGGGGGCAGAAUUCCAGGUGUAGCGGUGAAAUGCGUAGAGAUCUGGAGGAAUACCGGUGGCGAAGGCGGCCCCCUGGACAAAGACUGACGCUCAGGUGCGAAAGCGUGGGGAGCAAACAGGAUUAGAGACCCGUGUAGUCCCUGUCUCUUAUAC